RNAcentral lists this ribosomal RNA (165 nucleotides) under uncultured bacterium. Its description in RNAcentral is "partial 16S rRNA". It matches the Rfam family "Bacterial small subunit ribosomal RNA", at positions 355 to 511 of the family's 1533-position model. The record is from RNAcentral.
UAGGGAAUCUUCGGCAAUGGACGAAAGUCUGACCGAGCAACGCCGCGUGAGUGAAGAAGGUUUUCGAAUCGUAAAACUCUGUUGGUAGAGAAGAACGUUGGUGAGAGUGGAGAGCUCAUCAAGUGACGGUAACUACCCAGAAAGGGACGGCUAACUACGUGCCAG